Molecule: RNA transcript, 4800 nt
Organism: Cryptotermes secundus
Lineage: Eukaryota; Metazoa; Arthropoda; Insecta; Blattodea; Kalotermitidae
Gene: Ykt6
Gene name: synaptobrevin homolog YKT6
Exons: 6
Source: RefSeq, a predicted model, not a curated record
AUCCAUUCGGCGCUAUGUAUGUCAUCACAUCUGUUCUAUUUGCUAGACAGAAUCCUUCUUCCUGUAGUAGCUUCGUAACCUCUUGGGUUUUUUUGUCGGGUUUAUCAAUUCUACAGUUUAUAUCCCCUGCGAGUAUGGCUGGUUUUUUGUGGUCUAGUCUACUGACUGCACUUGCUAUCUUCUCUAUUGCAUCUUCUAUGUUGGUUUGGGGUGGAAUAUAUAGACCUAUUAUUUCUAGGUAUGUUGUUGUUAUGUGUACCAUGUUGUCUUCUUUAUACUCCGCUAUUUUUUCCCCUAUUUUGUUGUUAUAAAUACAUGAGACUCCUCCGCUAGGUCUUCCUUCUUGUUUUUGGACUGCAUAACUGUGCGUUGUGUAAUAUCCUGGUAUGGCUGUGUAUUCUGUUAGAAAGGUUUCGGUUAAUACUAUAAUGUCAUGAUUUUGUGUUAUUGUAUCCGGGGCGUUUUGCAUUAUUGACUUUAAUCCUUCAACAUUCCACAGGAGUAGAUCCAAUGUUCUUUUGCUGUUGGUCGUUUCUUGAUUAUUUCCGUCCUUAAGCGUUGAGGUCGGUGCCUUGGAAUGGUCGUGAGCGAAAUCGGAAGCGUUCAACUCGCACUCCUUUGGGCCAGAAUUCUGGCGUUUCUACUUCGGAUAGUCGAUUGAAGUGGAGCCCCAGUCAAUGCUCAAUAUCAGCUUACGUUCCAGCGAUACAAGUUUGAGAUUCCAUGGUUUUUCGUGUACGUAAUGUUGGUGGCAUUGAUUCAUGGGAAUCUAAUGUGGUCGAAGUGAUGUGUCAAAGUGGAUUGUUAUGCUGAGAUCUUUUGUAUUUCGACGCGUAAUUUUAUGCAACAGUGCUCUUUAUAAAUACUGUUAUUAUCAACAUUUUAUAUAUUCGUAUAAAUUAUUGUAAAGGGUCAUAUAUUUUGAGCAAAAAUAAUGGUGAAACUGUAUGCUUUGAAUGUGUUAUUCAAGGGGCCAAAUAAUGCCAUUUGGCUGAAAUCUGCAUACGAUCUGUCGGCCUAUAGUUUUUUCCAAAGAAGCAGUGUUCAAGAGUUUAUGGCAUUUGUUAGUAAAACAAUUGUAGAAAGAACACAGACUGCUGCAAGGCAGUCGGUAAAAGAGGGAGAAUAUAUGUGUCACGUGUAUGUUCGAGGAGAUAAUUUAGCUGGAGUUUUAAUAUCAGACCAUGAUUAUCCCCAUCGUGUUUCACACACACUGAUCACGAAGGUUCUUGAUGACUUUGCACUAAGUGUGCCUGCAGCAUCAUGGCCAGUUGGUUCUGAGGCAACAAUAUCAUUUCCUCAGCUAUAUACAUACCUUGCUAAAUAUCAGAAUCCCAGAGAAGCUGAUGCUAUGACCAAAAUACAAGAAGAACUAGAUGAAACAAAGAUAAUAUUGCACAACACAAUAGAAGCAGUUCUACAGCGAGGAGAGAAAUUGGAUGACUUAGUAGCAAAAUCAGAAGGAUUAAGUGUGCAGUCUAAAGCCUUCUAUAAAACAGCCCGUAAAACGAAUUCAUGUUGCACGUCUGGAUAAAAGUGACCCUUCUAAGGCAUGAAACAUGUUUCUGCAGUGAGCCAUCAACAUACAUUGGAAAUCAGGAACUUAAGGAGCAUGGGGUUUGCCAGUUACAUGAAUCUGCCAGUUGGACAAGAGGAGUUGGUGCAGAAACCAGGUACAGAGUCAAAACAACAUGUUUGCACUUCAGUUCCUGUGUGAGAGUUCUAGAUGACUGCAGAUUUGUGGUGAACAAUUUAAGGUACAAUACUGUAAACAACUCAAGUAGCCUCUACUUCAUGCCCCCCGUGUGAUGGAGCAUGUCAGGUAGUGUUGCUGAUGGUGGCUUGGAGAAGUACCACAUGACAGGGGAACAUACGAAUAUCAGAAAUUUGUUUUUCAAUAACUUUAUAAAGAUAUAAAAUUUUCUUGGAAAUGUUUCACCAUUUUGAUGAGAAUUCUGGAUGCUUGGAUGCCAGGUAACUGGGAGUUUUGUGUGUCUGUAUAAUAUAUGUAUAUAAAGGGAAGGCAGUAAAAUAGUUUGAAGUAAUUUGUAAAAAAUAUAUCAAUUAUAAGUUUUGAAAAUGUAUGCAGUUAUAUAAGACAAAUUUUUAGUACAGUGCAUUUUAUUGAUACCUGAGGAAGUGUGGGCCCAAUGAUACAAGAGUACUGAUAGUGUAUUGCAGAACGACUGGGAUUUAACAUGAAAUGGUAAGAAAAGGUAAUCAAAAUUGUGAAUUUCACUGUAGUAAUAUGUAACAUUACAAAGAGUUGAUAAGAAAAUCGAAAUGUUAUGUCUUGUAAUGACCAUCUACACUUACUGUCACAAAGUAUUUCUUCAAUCAAAAUAAACCAAAAGAAAUUAAAAGAUGGGUGGGGGGGGGUUAAGGAAAGAGAAAUAAGAAAUAAUUAUGCUGAAUGGGAGUGACAUUUAAGAGAAACUAGCUUCAUAUAUGUAGAAAGCAGUCUUCUGGGAUUUGGCACCGUGUAUAUGUGGUGUUAACACCACAUAUACAUGGUGCCAAAUCCCAGAAGACUGCUUUCUACAUAGUCACCGCCGUGAAAGACUCAAAUCUUUCAUAUAUGUAAUUGGAGAAAGGACAUCCAGAUCUCUCAUACAGACAGGAAACUUUGUAAGAUAAAUAAGAGGGUCUGGAUAACACUUGUAGGUACAGGUGAAAUACAGUUAAUGGUAUACUGAUGCUUUGCAAUGUGGUGGGUGAACAGGUCAGGGUUGUAAAGGAAAGAAGUUUGUGUUUUGACAGAUGAUUGUUAAUAUCUAGGGAUAGGUGAUGGUUUGAGCCAGAAUAGCUGUGCGAGUGUGGAGACUAGGCUAGGAACCAGGUGAAUGAGGAAUCAGAGUUUGAUUCCUAGCAGGGACAAGAGAUUUCUCUCUUCUCUGCCACAUCCAAGCUGGCUCUGGAGCCCUCCCAACCUCUUACCUGAUAGGUACCAAGGGUUCUUUUCCCAUGGGUAAAAUGGCUGGGAUGUGAAGCUGAGCACUGACAUCAGUCUAGUGCCAAACUUAAGAAGCAUGAUGCUGUGCAUACAUCCAUGCUCCAUUUUUUUAUAUUGUGCUUAAUUAAGCACAAAAGUAGUUUUACCAUUUGCCUUCUUAAGUGAUCAUGAAUUAAGAGUGGUCACUGGGGAUUAUCAUGAAAGAGUUUUUGUUCAGGAUUCCAGUAGUAUGUCAAUGAUAGAGGAGACUUGAGGGAAUAUUCAGUAUUAUUGUGGUUUUCAAGGGAAUGGGAUAAAGAAGGGAUUGUGAUGAUCACAGCUGUCUAGUCAGGAGAAUGAAAGGUGCUAUUACUUGAGCUGGUGACAUCACCAUCAGGAAGGUCAAAAGGGUGUGGGAAUGAACCACCUGUUUGACAGGAUAAUGGCAAUAAAGGGAAUGGAUAUUGUUAUUGGGCUUAUAGAAGAUGUCACUGUAUAUUAUGUCAAGACACUGCAAAAAAGCAAGGAAACCCUGCUCAGGAUGAAUGAGUUUUAAUAGUAAGGGCUUUUCACCUAAUAUGAAGUAAAUGCAUGGAAUAGAAGGAAAGGUUAUGUGUUAGGAGAGAAUGGAAAAGGUGACGAAGUGAGGUAUAGGGAGGACGAUUGAGGAGUGUUUCUAAGGCAGGAUGGUACUAUGUACAAGGAAUAGUUGCUAAUUCUGAAUGUAUUACAGGGAAAAAUAAAGACAUCCUAAUUAAACUAAAGCUCUAAAAUAUCACUUCUAAUUAUUAGAUUUUAAUUUUAUCCCACAGAACAGAUUAUUAGAACAGUAACAUGGCUGACUUCUUUUUGGAUGAUACCUGGUUCAUAUGUUUGUCAGUGCACUUGCUAUGUUGUUUCAUACAGUGCUAUGUAGCCUCUGCAUCUGAUACAGCAACUGUAACCUAUAAGUGAACCAGUAAUUUUCAUGGUGUCUCGACUCUUUUAAUAUAAUAAAUAAACUUUUCUUAUAUAAAAUUGUACUAUUGUGGUUAUGUCUUGCAGUUUGCCAGCAGAGUUAUCUUAAGUCCAGUUUGGCACAGCCUGUAAAAAAAAAAAGAUUCAUUUUAUGUAACUUCAGGAGCUAAAUUUCAAAACAUUUGACUUGAAUAAAACAGUAGUGAAAGAGAGACCUGCAGUUGGAAAUCCUACACGCCAGUUCCAUAGAACUGGAUGAUUCCACAGUUCACAAGAUCCGAAAUAAUUUUGUACCACAGACCAAUUUGCAACCAAUUUGCAAAUUGUUACAAAUUAGUUCUCCCAGAUUUUUGUGACAUAAUUAUGUUCAUGCACAGGUAUCUUCUGAAAUGAAUUCAGUAAAAUGUAAUUACUGCUCCAGAAUGUGUGGCCUGAGGGGGAUUUUGUUGACAGUUUUUAUUAUUUUUCAUUGAACUGUGGAAGAUGUGUUGAAGUUACGAAAUACCUUUGCAGGGAGAAUGUGAGGGUGUGGACUAUAUUUAACUGACUCAGAUUAGGGGCCAGUGGAAAGCUUUUGUGAAUAUGGUAACGAAUUUUCAUAUACCAUAAAAGGUAAAGAAUUUUAUGACCAGCUGAUUAACUGUUGUUUUCUGAAGAACUCUGCUUCAUGGAGUUAACAGGAACUACUUGAACCCCUAAAAAUGGAAGUGUCAUAGACACUUGUUUUUCUAAUGACAUGAGCUGGGCAGCUGACUGUAGUGACUAGCUGUAAACUUAUGGCAGGGACAGGGAUUUUUUCCUUUGCCACUGUGUCUAGACUGGCUCCAAGACCCACCCAGCUUUCAUCCGUUCGUUUCGUUUCGGUUCUUUUCGUUUCGGUUCGUUCGUUCGUUCGUUUCGGUUCGGUUGUU